This 1075-nucleotide ribosomal RNA is filed under the name Ophioceras hongkongense. Its description in RNAcentral is "SSU rRNA". It matches the Rfam family "Eukaryotic small subunit ribosomal RNA", at positions 48 to 1135 of the family's 1831-position model. The record is from RNAcentral. Lineage: Eukaryota; Fungi; Ascomycota; Sordariomycetes; Magnaporthales; Ophioceraceae.
GCCAUGCAUGUCUAAGUAUAAGCAAUUAUACGGCGAAACUGCGAAUGGCUCAUUAAAUCAGUUAUUGUUUAUUUGAUAGUACCUUACUACUUGGAUAACCGUGGUAAUUCUAGAGCUAAUACAUGCUAAAAACCCCGACUUCAGGGAGGGGUGUAUUUAUUAGAUUAAAAACCAAUGCCCUUCGGGGCUUCUUGGUGAUUCAUGAUAACUUCUCGGAUCGCACGGCCUUGCGCCGGCGACGGUUCAUUCAAAUUUCUGCCCUAUCAACUUUCGACGGCUGGGUAUUGGCCAGCCGUGGUGACAACGGGUAACGGAGGGUUAGGGCUCGACCCCGGAGAAAACGCCUGAGAAACGGCGUUUACAUCCAAGGAAGGCAGCAGGCGCGCAAAUUACCCAAUGCCGACUCGGCGAGGUAGUGACGAUAAAUACUGGUACGGGGCUCUUUCGGGUCUCGUAACUGGAAUGAGUACAAUUUAAAUCCCUUAACGAGGAACAAUUGGAGGGCAAGUCUGGUGCCAGCAGCCGCGGUAAUUCCAGCUCCAAUAGCGUAUAUUAAAAUUGUUGAGAUUAAAAAGCUCGUAGUUGAACCUUGGGCCUGGCUGGCCGGUCCGCCUCACCGCGUGCACUGGUCCGGCCGGGCCUUUCCCUCCGGGGAACCCCAUGCCCUUCACUGGGCGUGGCGGGGAACCGGGACUUUUACUUUGAAAAAAUUAGAGUGUUCAAAGCAGGCCUAUGCUCGGAUACAUUAGCAUGGAAUAAUAGAAUAGGACGUGUGGUUCUAUUUUGUUGGUUUCUAGGACCGCCGUAAUGAUUAAUAGGGACAGUCGGGGGCGUCAGUAUUCAAUUGUCAGAGGUGAAAUUCUUGGAUUUAUUGAAGACUAACUACUGCGAAGGCAUUCGUCAAGGAUGUUUUCAUUAAUCAGGAACGAAAGUUAGGGGAUCGAAGACGAUCAGAUACCGUCGUAGUCUUAACCGUAAACUAUUAAGUCUAGGGAUCGGACGGUGGUUCUAUUUGCCCCGUCCGGCACCUUACACGAAAGUAUAAGAGCUUAUUCUGGGGAAAUACGGUAGCAAU